CCUACGGGAGGCAGCAGUAAGGAAUAUUGGACAAUGGAGGCAACUCUGAUCCAGCCAUGCCGCGUGAGUGAAGAAGGCCUUCGGGUUGUAAAGCUCUUUCGGCCGGGAAGAAAUCGUGUUCUCUAACAUAGGACAUGGAUGACGGUACCGGACUAAGAAGCACCGGCUAACUACGUGCCAGCAGCCGCGGUAA
RNAcentral lists this ribosomal RNA (193 nucleotides) under uncultured bacterium. RNAcentral's name for it is "partial 16S ribosomal RNA". It matches the Rfam family "Bacterial small subunit ribosomal RNA", at positions 338 to 523 of the family's 1533-position model. The record is from RNAcentral.